Molecule: transfer RNA, 85 nt
Filed under: Sphingopyxis lindanitolerans
Lineage: Bacteria; Pseudomonadati; Pseudomonadota; Alphaproteobacteria; Sphingomonadales; Sphingopyxidaceae
Description: tRNA-Leu
Rfam family: tRNA
About the family: Transfer RNA (tRNA) molecules are approximately 80 nucleotides in length.
Source: RNAcentral
GCCCCUGUGGUGAAAUUGGUAGACGCGCCGCACUCAAAAUGCGGUUCCGAAAGGAGUGCUGGUUCGAGUCCGGCCAGGGGCACCA